Vombatus ursinus (common wombat) is the source of this 1859-nucleotide long non-coding RNA. The record is from Ensembl. Lineage: Eukaryota; Metazoa; Chordata; Mammalia; Diprotodontia; Vombatidae.
CAGCUCUGAAAUUCCAAUCCCGGGAACCUUCUCCGAAGAGAUUUGGAAUGGACCGGGGGCGGAGAGGGGGAGGAAGGAGGAGGAGAGGCGGAGAGGGGAGAGAGGGCAGAGACGGGGAGGAGGGAUGGGUUGUGUUUGCAGAAUACUACCAAACAGUGCUCGAGCUCGGACGUUCGUCCACCUCCGGGCUGUUUCCCCCGAACCUGGCUGAGUUGGAGAGGAGGGGGCGGCAGAGGGGGAGGAGAGAAGUGGAGGGCUGGUCCCCUGCUCGGGAGAGUUGAACCCCCCCUUUUCCCUCCCCCCCCCAAAAAAUAGGCUACAGGAUCCGCCAGGGAGGAGACAGGCCUUGGCCUGGGAGAGCCGGACCCAGGGAGGAUCUCGGGACCCCAGCGGCAAAGAGGGGGGCCGCUGUACCCCGAGCUUCACCGCUCCCUCCUAAGCCGCUGUGCCCCACUCUCGGAAAGCCUGAGGCUAAGCAGCCAUCCCCUCGCUCCACCUUCUCGCCAUCCCCAUCCCCCACGCUGACUUUCCCUUUCUUCGCUGCUCAGCAGUCGUGGUUUCCUUUUUGCCUCUUGGAUGGAAACUUUAGAGUUGGUUUUGAAUUUGGCCAGCGUAGCCAGAUGCUCCCUCUUCAGAUCCGGUUCCCUACAUGGCCUUGGGGGAUCUGGUUCUGAUGACCUGGUCUGAUCACCACAGUCACAACAGCAGCAGUCCAGGAGGGGGCUUGGCCAGGCUCAACAGGUGUUUGCUUUGCUGACGCUGCUUUCACUGAGAGAAGCUGGCAGGUCCUUCAGCCCAGCAAGGAGAUGUUCCUGGGACAUCUCAUCCAAAGUCACAGGUCUCACCACCUGGAGCUUUCAGGAGCAGGCCCGGCAAAGAUCCAGGCUCGAGGCACAGCAUCAGCUUGGGACAGCAUGAGAACACAGAAGAUUCAGUUACGCCAAUGCAUGAAAAAGACCAGACUGGUGGUUGUAAGUGCCCACCUUCCAUCCUGAGACGGAAACCACCAGAGUGCCCUAUAACAGGUGACAGGAGAAGGGCUGAGAGGCGGGUACGCUUCCAAGAGCCCGAGGAGACGACUGUGCAUGACAUCUCCUGUGCGGACACCCUCGUAGCCCCAGACAGGUGGUCAUCUGGAUGCCCUCUCUUCCUGUGUCUCUGCCUUUGCAUCCUGCUUGGCCUAGCCCUGAGCCUCUAUUGUGGUCAGACCAAGCUGGGCUCCAAGGCCCUGGAGGAAUUCCGAGCCUGGCUCCUUCUCUUCCUCCUCCGGGACUUCUUCCAAAGUACAGCUAACUUGGGAGGAGCAUUGUGGUACAAAGGAAUGAGCAUUGCAGCUAGAGCAAAAGAACCUGGGUUCAAAUUCUGGCUCUGCCACUUGUUAUGUUUGUGACCAUGGGCAAGUCAUCUCACCCAUCUCCUGGGCCCAUUUCCUCGUCUGUAAAUUGAUGGGGCUCUAGACUAAACGACCUCUGAGGUCCCUUUUGCCACUAUAGCUAUGAUCUUGUGAGUGAUUCUCCUAUUUAGUUACAACUUCCUUGGAUCUUCUGAUUUCUUUUGUAGAAGGAAUGGGGAUAUUGAUCAUGCUUCAGUUCUUCCAGCAUUAUGUUGAUUCAUGGGUUGUUGGACAAAGAUCUCACACAUGGAGAGCAAUAGGCAAAUUAAUAUUUAUAUGAUCUUGGAGGGAGAGAGGUGGAGAGGGCUUCUUACGAAUAUGGAAUAUGCUAUACACAGUCAGAUGCAGUUACUUUGUCUGUUGGUUUUGCUUAAAGGUUUUUCCCAAAUGGAUGGGAAGGAGGUAAGAGGAUAGACAUUAAGAGGUAUAAAAUAAAGGACACUUUAAAAAAAUAAUGUUUAUAGAA